RNAcentral lists this ribosomal RNA (301 nucleotides) under uncultured bacterium. RNAcentral's name for it is "partial 16S ribosomal RNA". It matches the Rfam family "Bacterial small subunit ribosomal RNA", at positions 509 to 809 of the family's 1533-position model. The record is from RNAcentral.
CAGUCGCCGCGGUAAUACGAAGGGUGCAAGCGUUAAUCGGAAUUACUGGGCGUAAAGCGUGCGUAGGCGGUGAGUUAAGUCUGCUGUGAAAUCCCCGGGCUCAACCUGGGAAUGGCAGUGGAUACUGGCUCGCUAGAGUGUGUCAGAGGAUGGUGGAAUUCCCGGUGUAGCGGUGAAAUGCGUAGAUAUCGGAAGGAACACCAGUGGCGAAGGCGGCUACCUGGCUUGACACUGACACUGAGGCGCGAAAGCGUGGGGAGCAAACAGGAUUAGAUACCCCUGUAGUCCCUGUCUCUUAUAA